GUAAAGAGCAAGUGGCGCGCUCAAGCGAUUAUCUCGAUGGCCAGUUGAGCUUUCGCGAGAAACUGAUGGUGCGUCAUCACCUGAUGUUCUGCCCCAACUGUCGGCGUUUCAUUCGUCAGAUGCGUUUGAUGCAGGCCACGCUGAAGGCGAUGCCGCAGAAACCCGAAGAGGG
RNAcentral lists this small RNA (172 nucleotides) under Pseudomonas sp. AD21. Its description in RNAcentral is "P17". The record is from RNAcentral. Lineage: Bacteria; Pseudomonadati; Pseudomonadota; Gammaproteobacteria; Pseudomonadales; Pseudomonadaceae.